CCUACGGGAGGCAGCAGUGGGGAAUAUUGCACAAUGGGGGAAACCCUGAUGCAGCGACGCCGCGUGAGUGAAGAAGUAUUUCGGUACGUAAAGCUCUAUCAGCAGGGAAGAAAAAAAGUCCUUUGGACUUUGGUCGGUACCUGCCUAAGAAUCCCCGGCUAACUACGGGCCAGCAGCCGCGGUAAUACGUAGGGGGCAAGCUUUAUCCGGAGUUACUGGGUGUAAAGGGGGCGUAGACGGCAGCGCAAGUCUGGAGUGAAAUGCCGGGGCUCAACCCCGGAAUUGCUUUGGAAACUGGGCAGCUGGAGUGCAGGAGAGGUAAGCGGAAUGCCUAGUGUAGCGGUGAAAUGCGUAGAUAUCAGGAGGAACACCAGUGGCGAAGGCGGCUUACUGGACUGUAACUGACGUUGAGGCUCGAAAGCGUGGGGAGCAAACAGGAUUAGAUACCCGUGUAGUC
This 457-nucleotide ribosomal RNA is filed under the name uncultured bacterium. Its description in RNAcentral is "partial 16S ribosomal RNA". It matches the Rfam family "Bacterial small subunit ribosomal RNA", at positions 338 to 795 of the family's 1533-position model. The record is from RNAcentral.